Molecule: ribosomal RNA, 273 nt
Filed under: uncultured bacterium
Lineage: Bacteria
Description: partial 16S ribosomal RNA
Rfam family: Bacterial small subunit ribosomal RNA
Source: RNAcentral
UACGAAGGGUGCAAGCGUACUCGUAAUUAACUGGGCGUAAAGACGCGCGUAGGUGGUUUGAUAAGUUGGAUGUGAAAGCCCCCGGGCUCAACCUGGGAAUUGCAUCCAAAACUGUCUGACUAGAGUAUGGCAGAGGGUGGUGGAAUUUCCUGUGUAGCGGUGAAAUGCGUAGAUAUAGGAAGGAACACCAGUGGCGAAGGCGACCACCUGGGCUAAUACUGACACUGAGGUGCGAAAGCGUGGGGAGCAAACAGGAUUAGAUACCCGCGUAGU